UACGAAGGGGGCUAGCGUUGUUCGGAAUUACUGGACGUAAAGCGUGCGCAGGCGGCUUCUCAAGUCAGGGGUGAAAGCCCAGAGCUCAACUCUGGAAUUGCCCUUGAGACUGAGUGGCUUGAGUACGGGAGAGGUGAGUGGAAUUCCCAGUGUAGAGGUGAAAUUCGUAGAUAUUCGCAAGAACACCAGUGGCGAAGGCGGCUCACUGGCCCGGUACUGACGCUGAGGCACGAAAGCGUGGGGAGCAAACAGG
RNAcentral lists this ribosomal RNA (253 nucleotides) under uncultured bacterium. RNAcentral's name for it is "partial 16S ribosomal RNA". It matches the Rfam family "Bacterial small subunit ribosomal RNA", at positions 524 to 776 of the family's 1533-position model. The record is from RNAcentral.